RNAcentral lists this transfer RNA (62 nucleotides) under Fascioloides magna. Its description in RNAcentral is "tRNA-Thr". The record is from RNAcentral. Lineage: Eukaryota; Metazoa; Platyhelminthes; Trematoda; Plagiorchiida; Fasciolidae.
GGGAGGUUAGUUUAGGUUAAGAAUAUUGUUUUUGUAAAACAAUGGUGUUGUUUGACAUCUUC